Rhizobium sp. YS-1r is the source of this 290-nucleotide small RNA. It matches the Rfam family "5' ureB small RNA". NCBI's taxonomy places the organism in Bacteria, Pseudomonadati, Pseudomonadota, Alphaproteobacteria, Hyphomicrobiales, Rhizobiaceae. The record is from Rfam.
CUUCUUCGAUCUGCUGCGGGCAGAUGAAAUGGAUAUGCGCAUCCAUACCGCCGGCGGUCAGUAUCUUGCCCUCGCCGGCGAUCGCCUCGGUCGAGGGGCCGACGAUGAUCGUCACACCCGGCUGCGUAUCCGGAUUGCCAGCCUUGCCGAUCGCAUGGAUGCGGCCGUCCUUGAGACCGACAUCAGCCUUGUAGACGCCGGAAUGGUCGACAAUCAGCGCAUUGGUGAUCACGGUGUCGACCGCGCCCUCCGCCCGCGUCGCCUGGCUCUGGCCCAUGCCGUCGCGGAUG